CCUACGGGAGGCAGCAGUCGGGAAUAUUGCGCAAUGGAGGAAACUCUGACGCAGUGACGCCGCGUGCAGGAAGAAGGUUUUCGGAUUGUAAACUGCUUUAGACAGGGAAGAAAAAAGACAGUACCUGUAGAAUAAGCUCCGGCUAACUACGUGCCAGCAGCCGCGGUAAUACGUAGGGACCAAGCGUUCUCCGGAUUGAUUGGGGGGAAAGGGUUCGAAGGCGGGGGAGCAAGUUAGUUGAGAAAUCCCUCGGCUUAAAUGAGGAACUGCAACUAAAACUACUUCCCUUGAGUACUGGAGAGGAAAGUGGAAUUCCUAGUGUAGCGGUGAAAUGCGUAGAUAUUAGGAGGAACACCAGUGGCGAAGGCGACUUUCUGGACAGUAACUGACGUUGAGGCACGAAAGUGUGGGGAGCAAACAGGAUUAGAUACCCGUGUAGUC
RNAcentral lists this ribosomal RNA (441 nucleotides) under uncultured bacterium. Its description in RNAcentral is "partial 16S ribosomal RNA". It matches the Rfam family "Bacterial small subunit ribosomal RNA", at positions 338 to 795 of the family's 1533-position model. The record is from RNAcentral.